GUAAAAGUUGAUUAUAAAUAUAAAAUGAAGAUUUAUAUUCAACAUUCACUAGUAAAAGUAGACUCCAACUAGGAAAAGUAUACUCUUCCCAAUGCCAUUUAGUAAAAGUUGAUUCUGAUUCACACAAACAGCCGAUUCUAGAAAUUAAAUGUUACUGAAUAUGUUCAAAUUAGUCUAGGCUGUAUCGUCGCCCCCGUUAUUUAAAUUACUCCGAUUCGAAUUUUUUUUUCACAAAUUUGCUCAAAAAGAGGUCCUUAUAACAAAUCUACUGGGUGCCGGGCAGUACCACAGUAUAGGAGGAAUCAGUAAGCUCACUCCCCGAAAAAUGCAUUGUUUUCAAUGUUCCAAUUUGGCGAAUCUGCGCAAAGUCGUCCAAAAUUCGUUUCACCGUGCGCAUCCGAUGAGAGCGGAUACGUUUGCCGAUUGGUCGUGACCGCCAUCUGAUUUUCAUGAAUUUUGUGAGGUUGUGUUUGGGAAUUGUUUGUUGUUUUGGUUAAUUUACCAAUUUAUUUUCAUACAUUUUUCAUAUUAAUAAUAGGUAGUUAUGUAUAUUAUGUACUGUGAAUGUGAUAUUAUUUUCUUAAAUCAAUCAAAUGGAAAUGAAGCAAGCAGAAAACAAUUUUUACAAGGAACAAUGUAAAAUUAAAAUCGAAAGUUCAGGACAACCUGUGUGAUGCUGUAAUAAUUAUGUUCCUAUUCUGUUAAAACUGAGAUAGAGAGUCUUUAAAACUGAUAAAAAUAGUUAUUUCUAUGAUGGAAAUUCUUUGGACCAAAUAAAUAGAGAAGUUAUUAUUGAAGACAUCAAAUAAAAGGAGGAAAAUUUAUGUGAAAAAUGAUUUUCAUAAUAAAAGAAGAACUGACGUUAUUAUGAAACCAGUGUAUGGACGGUGUGUUUUACUGACUUAAAGCAAGAGUACCUUUUAUACUUGAAUUUGUCACAUUUUUUAAUUUCAUAAUUUUAUUUAUGUAAGUUGUGAUUGUAAAAAUAUUGUUAAGUUGUAUUCAUAGUUCUCUACUUGUUCUUUUGAAGUACUGUUUUUAUUAUAAUUGGUAUUGUAAAGUUGAAAUCCUCAAAUCAAAAUAUAAUUUAUAAUUCGAA
Molecule: long non-coding RNA, 1099 nt
Organism: Diabrotica virgifera virgifera (western corn rootworm)
Lineage: Eukaryota; Metazoa; Arthropoda; Insecta; Coleoptera; Chrysomelidae
Exons: 2
Source: RefSeq, a predicted model, not a curated record